UACGUAGGGGGCAAGCGUUGUCCGGAAUUAUUGGGCGUAAAGAGCGCGCAGGCGGUAUGACAAGUCAGAUGUGAAAGAGGCCGGCUUAACCGGCAAGGGUCAUUUGAAACUGUCAGACUAGAGUGCAGCAGAGGAUAGUGGAAUUCCCGGUGUAGUGGUGAAAUGCGUAGAUAUCGGGAGGAACACCAGUGGCGAAGGCGACUUUCUGGGCUGCAACUGACGCUGAGGCGCGAAGGCUAGGGUACCAAACAGG
RNAcentral lists this ribosomal RNA (253 nucleotides) under uncultured bacterium. RNAcentral's name for it is "partial 16S ribosomal RNA". It matches the Rfam family "Bacterial small subunit ribosomal RNA", at positions 524 to 776 of the family's 1533-position model. The record is from RNAcentral.